Long non-coding RNA from Ailuropoda melanoleuca (giant panda), 3899 nucleotides. RefSeq lists it as uncharacterized. The transcript is spliced from 6 exons. The record is from RefSeq and is a predicted model, not a curated record. NCBI's taxonomy places the organism in Eukaryota, Metazoa, Chordata, Mammalia, Carnivora, Ursidae.
AAGGCGCAGGGGACCUAAUCAAACUACCACUUUCACUCCUGAAGUGAAUCACCCUGAGUUCCACCCCCUCAAGCCUCUGAGAACUAGAGCAUCCCUAACUUCUUAGAAGGGAUGUUUUUACACGUUUGGGUAUUUCUGUUGUUGUAGUUACCUGCUUUUCCCCGUGGCUACAGAGACCUGGGUGGAAAUGGGGGCAAUCCUUCGCAUUACAAGCACCUAGAGCCUGAACUGCUCCCAGAUUGUAAAGGUCGGAACCAAGCGGCAGACCCUGCCCGGCACGCCCUGGAGGAGGGACUUUUGCCAAUCCCUCUCCGCGCGCCAGUUUCCCCCUGCACCAGGAGGAAGCCCUGGGCUUCCAGGUGGAGCUCGCGCAACGAAGACUGUUCCCAGCAGCCCACGACCACCCCUCGGGAGGACGGGCUGAGAGGUCGCAGCAUGUCCCUUGGAAUUCACCGUUUCCCGAAAUUCUCUUCGAAGGGUGAGAAGUGGCUUACUCAGGGCCGCGGGAGCUGAAAGUCCCGCCCGUGAGGCCCAGAGUCGCGGCAGACAGGCAGCCCCGGCCCGGGACGUGGGGCCUGGCACGGAUCCCCGGCUGGGGCUCGCGGUUACCUGUGGCGGAAGCCCGCGGCAGCGGCGGCGGUGGGCGGCAGGACCGUGGGAACUCCUCGCGACGCGCAGCCUCAGAUGCGCCACCUCCUGACGUCCGCCCUGCAGUGAUUGCGGAGCGACACCAGACUCAGGGCUUUAAUGGCCUAGGGCGCUGCGUUGAUUGGUGGAACUUGGGGCGGGCGUGUGUGAACGCCAAUGGGAGGCGGAGCGAGGCGGGGCCGGCGAGCCAGAGCGCCUACAAGUCCCAGCAUGCACGAGCCGGGGUUUUUGGGCCCACAGCCCGCGAACCCUGGGAGAAGCAUGAGCAAUGAAAUGGGGGGUGAGGGCGCCCGGGGUGCGUGGGGCUUCCCUGCAGACGCAGUAAUUCCAGAAGUGCCCGCCGAAGGAUCAAAACCUGCGCGCGGGGCACUUUAACGCAGUGGUUUCCAAACUUGCACUUUGGAAUCCUCUAGGGAAACUUCAGAAAUACUGAUGUCCCUGUGUCGUCUGAGAUGUCGUGAGUUCCUUGGUCCGCACGUGUUCUGGGUUUUGGAAUCUCUCAAGAUCCUCCGUGAAUCGAAUGUGUGUCCUUUUAAUCCUCGAGGCGACCCUGUGAGAAGUAGGUGCUCUUAUUGUGGUCCCCGCUUUACAGUUAGGACGACUGAGGGAGGCUCAGGCAUGGAUGGGCGAAACCUCUGAAUAGGAUGUGUUCAAACAGAAACAGCAGGCUCAAAAUGGAGUCAUUAAUGCUAAGCCCCACACAGCAAACCAGGACUUCCUCUGUAACCUGAUUGCAGCUUCAUCCUCUCGCAGGAGUAGAAUUAUAAACCUGUCUGGAAUUUCCUGAUCAACACUAAUAAGGGUUCAGUAAAUCAAGGAAAUGCUAUCAGUAUUAUCUCUUUUCACAUCUUCGAUCUUCAGCCCCCAAUGAGCAUGAAAGACAUUGGCAAAAGCGACUGUUAUCUUUGGCUGGUAGCGUGGAACCCAUGACUUCCCCGAACCAGGGCUGGAUUGCAUAAAUGCAAAGCAUUUGGUUAAAUGAAAACUGCUGACUGAGGAGCUAAAAAAGAUCAAAACAGGAAGCCUUAAAUGGCUAACAGAGCACUGUAUUUAAGAAGAAGACGCUAGACACCGUCAUGCUUACAGAGCUGAAAAGUGAUUGGGCAGGUCCAGGUGAGGAAAACAACCAAGUUUGGAGGUGCCACAGCAGCAGUCAGGACCCCAACAAGCCAAGCGAACAAGGGACCCUUGGAGAAGUUAAUGAUUCUAGGAGUGGGGCACAGGAAGUAUACAAUAAACCUGCAACAUGCUGUGGUAUCAGAAAGCAAGGAGGUGCUCUCCUGAGAGUGACACGGCAACGGGACAAAGAAGCCAGAUUCUAGGACACUAUGAACAUCACGAUAGUUAGCAGGAGUGACAAAUGGCGCUCGGUUGAAUGACACAGGAAUCCACGAGUCUACAUUGAUAUCCACAAAUGAACGGAUGAGUGAGGGGAAAGAAAAGCACUUCCUGCAGUGGAAUGUUACCCAAUAAAUGUGAGAGGAGUGAUAGCAUCAUAAAAUCACCAUUUGGCAGUCAUUAGUUCAGUCACGAAACAUCGAUGGAUACUAAAUCCAGCAGGUGAACCUUGGGUGACAGACAGGGAUGGCAGGCUUCUCACUGUGUUCCUGCUUGGCGGGGAGGGGAGAGCUCUCUGGUAUCUUCUCCUAAAAGGGGACUAAUCCUAUAUAACUGGGCCCCACUCUUACGACUUCGCUUAACCUUAACUACCUUCCUAUAGGCUCUGUCUUCAAAUAACGGUCACAUCGAAGGUCAGGGUUUCAAUAUAUGAACUCGGGGCACACGAUUCAGUUGUCGCAGAGCAGGAAUUCCUUUCUCCGACAAGGUCCUUCCAGCUAGGCAAAGAAUCCACUUGACCUGAGAAAUGGACAGGAAAAAAUCAAAUUUAAUUCCAUAUGUAUGGGGAAUCCACACAGACAUGGGAAUUCCAAAGACGGGCAGGCAAAAUGAGGUAUGUAUGUCCAUUCUGAAGGAAGGAGAAGAGGGCAGGGGUCUGGGGCUUCAAGGGAAGGAAUGCACCUCAUGAGGCAGUAAAAAAAGCAGACAUUAGGUAACUAGAUAUUUGCCCUGUCAUACACAUAGUUUGCUCCAAUAACAUUUAUCUCUGGUAAUAAACCUUUAUUCUUGGAAAGGCUUUUAAUUUAGAUUCUUGUAUUUAGCUGCUGGAUGGAGAAAGUUUCUCCUGAGUCCGCAGAAUCCCAGCAUCUCAGAGCUGGAAGGGACUGAGGGCAAACACAUUUAACUUCUUUGGGAUUCCUCUGAGCUAUCUCUUGAUGGGUUGCUGGGAAUGAUUGGGUGGGGCUCUGCAUACCUCUUCCCCACUCCUACCCUCUUCAUCCACACCCCUCAAUCAGGACUGCUCCACUGCGACAUAUUUUAUAUAUGGGGCAUAGAUAUAGGAUUUCCUUUAAAGAAAGAAUUCUGUGCAUAACGUACACCUUAAAAACCACUAAUGACCCAUUUUACAGAUGAGGAAACUGAGGAGGCCCUGAGAGAUCAAGGGAGCUGUCCACAACGCCAAAGCAAGGCACAAAAUGCUGUUUGUUGAUACCCAGGCAGGGGCUGUUUCCAGGACAACACAUAGCCUCUUCUCCACCCAGCCUCGUUGUCACUAUAGGGUCAUAUGGGGGUUGGGGACCUCUCAGCAAGGACAAAGACCGGCUAAGGAGUGGCAUGAAUGGGGGCCUAGGAGGUUUCAUCAGGGCCUCAGAGCAGCUUAGCACUCCAGAUGCCAUGGAAAACACAGAAUUGGCCUGCCCCAUUGGGAGGAACUUCCAAACAAGUAUGGGAAUAUGAGUUCCUGUUAAUAAUUCAGGGUCAGGAAAGAUUACAUUCUGUGCUCUAGCAACAAAAGGAUACAGCACUACCCCUUUUACCUGUCAAUCCAGAUAGAAUAGACAUACACACAAACAUACAUAUGUACAUUGUAAGUACUCAGUGCCUCCUGCUGCUAGAAGAUAAAAAUGCACAAAUUUCAUUCUUCAGAUCUGUUCAGCGAGGAAGUAUAACCACAGAACCCAGGAGCUGAAGGAACAUGGAAUCUUCCAAUGAGGGUCACAAAAUUCCUAAGGGAUUCCUGCACCGGCUGGGCAGGUGAUGGACAUGAGGAAUAUUAUUUGAUUCCACGAGGCAGGACCACAAGAACAUGGGGAAUACAUUUAGCCUCCUAGUGUAUUCAAAGUUUAAAAAAAUUGGGGGCGCCUGGGUGGCACAGUGGUUAAGCUUCUGCCUUCGGCUCAGGGCGUGAUCCC